RNAcentral lists this ribosomal RNA (519 nucleotides) under Acharax sp. MY-2022. RNAcentral's name for it is "partial large subunit ribosomal RNA". It matches the Rfam family "Eukaryotic large subunit ribosomal RNA", at positions 820 to 1255 of the family's 3401-position model. Lineage: Eukaryota; Metazoa; Mollusca; Bivalvia; Solemyida; Solemyidae. The record is from RNAcentral.
AAGAUGGUGAACUAUGCCCGAGUAGGACGAAGCCAGAGGAAACUCUGGUGGAGGUCCGUAGCGAUUCUGACGUGCAAAUCGAUCGUCAAACUUGGGUAUAGGGGCGAAAGACUAAUCGAACCAUCUAGUAGCUGGUUCCCUCCGAAGUUUCCCUCAGGAUAGCUGGCACUCAUUCCGCAAGGGCAGUUUUAUCCGGUAAAGCGAAUGAUUAGAGGCCUUGGGGCCGAAACGACCUCAACCUAUUCUCAAACUUUAAAUGGGUAAGAAGUUCGACUCGCCCGAGAGAGAGAGUCUUUUCCCGGAGUCGAACGGUGUGGUAGAUUUCUUUUUUUUCCCCAAAAAAAAUAAAUCAAAAACUUGGAUUUUGGAAAACGAAUGCGAGUGCUUAGUGGGCCACCUUUGGUAAGCAGAGCUGGCGCUGUGGGAUGAACCAAAAGCCCGGUUAAGGUGCCUAACGCCGGACGCUCAUCGGAUACCAUAAAAGGUGUUGGUCGAUACAGACAGCAGGACGGUGGCCAU